Molecule: non-coding RNA, 76 nt
Organism: Podarcis lilfordi (Lilford's wall lizard)
Lineage: Eukaryota; Metazoa; Chordata; Lepidosauria; Squamata; Lacertidae
Source: the annotation of a GenBank genome assembly
GGAGAGCUGUAGCUCAGAGGCAAAGCAUCUGGCUUUGCAUGCAGAAGGUCUCUGGGUUCAAUCCCUGCCAUCUCCC